UCCCACCCCUGUGCAAUCACAACUGCAGGCUGCCGUUGACUGCACCUCUAAGAUUCCCAGCAGUGUAAUUCCUGCCUGAGCAUUUGUUUCUAUAGCAUCUGCCAACAGCAUCCUCUGGGCAGAGGAGAUGCAGAGGAGCUGAUUUGGGGUUAGAACCAAGUGUGGUCGAGGUGCACAUAGUGACUGUGCUGCCCAUGGAGUGUGUUAAAAGUAAACCUGCUCUGCAAAAAAAGCACCACACCACCUGAUGCUUUACCCUUUUGUGAUUACAACAGCUGAUGGUGAAAACAGUGCAACCAAAUUCCUUGCAACAUGGGUGUGCUGGCUGGAUGUGCUUCUCUGACAGAGAGCAAGUGCUGUGUAAAAAUGAAGUGUAAAAGAAACAAGCAGAUUUUCAGCAAGAUCUUUCCUUCUGCUACCAGAUGCUCAUUUCAACCUGCGUCCUACGACGGUUUCUGCCUGACUGCACACGAUCAGUCUGCAGGUGGAAAUGCUGGCUAUGCAGCUUCCGUGGUUACAAAGACAGAAACGAAAGGCUGUAUUUUCAGUUCAGAUCUCCCCCUGACCCCUGUGAUAAGCAUCUCCAGGCCUGCAGAGGAAGCGCCCUUCACAGCUGCUGGGAAGGAGAGGACAAUGAUUUAUCUGUCUGUGCAAAGAGCUCAGUGCAAAGCAGUCUCUCAGGAGCUGGAGCAUCAAUCACAGCUGGCCCCUUUCCACGUGACUGAGUGGCCACAGAGCACCAAGGGGUGCACAGGCUGCCCAGGGGGAGGCGUGUGGGCCAGAAGUGGCAAUAUUUACCCAGCCUUUCUCCAGGCUUUGCCCCACUCCACCCCUGUGGGCUCUGCUGCAGCUCAAGCAGUGACAGCAGUUUUCAAAUGAAAUGUGUUCCUCUACCUCUGUAAGCCCCUGUUCCUGCUUCCUCAAUCAAUCACACACUAAAUAGAUUGAUUUGGCUCUCAGGUUUUCCAUGACCAAGCACUCUUGCCAGCCCUCGCCCAGCAGCACUUAUUUAUCUGUGUAAGCAAGGACAGUGCUGAGCUGCAGCCUUUGCCAGCGAGGCUCACGGUGUGACAGCAGCUGAGUCCUCAGCCCUGAGACGUGGAGGUGAAACUCAGAAAGGAGAACUCUGAUGCACCGUUGAUCAUCCUGCUGUGAAGGGAAAGAGGAAAGGAAUACGGGGUGUGCAUGAGGAAUCCCUACCAUCUGUUUUUUCAGAGGCACUGUGUCCAGAGCUUGGUGCAGGAAGGAAUUUGCUUAUCUAGGGACUGAAGCACUCUGUGGCAUUCUCUGCAUGCAUGCUGCAGAAAACACAACCAGCAGGUUAAUCCCUUAAUGACCACUGCAUCCACAGCCUGCUCUGUGUGGGGUGAAGGAGUGCACAUCUGGCAGGCUGACCCUGGGAAGCAGAGCAGAGCAGGCAGAAUGUGUGCAAGGCUGCAAAAUGCAGCAGGAGCAGCACACUGGGGCUUGAACCCAAAGGCAAUCCCAGCUCAGGUGACAACGCUGCUCAAAGCUGGGGUGUACACAGAAUGAGCCACAGAAUGGCUCAGGAAGGACCUCAAAGAUCACUCACCACCCAUGCCAUGGGCUGGCUGCACCCAACUCAGGCUGCCCAGGGCCCAUCCGUGGCCUGGGGUACUUCCAGGGAUGGGUCACCCACAGCUCUGGGCAGCAGCGCCGGCUCCUCACCGCU
Long non-coding RNA from Lagopus muta (rock ptarmigan), 1693 nucleotides. RefSeq lists it as uncharacterized. NCBI's taxonomy places the organism in Eukaryota, Metazoa, Chordata, Aves, Galliformes, Phasianidae. The record is from RefSeq and is a predicted model, not a curated record. The transcript has 3 exons.